RNAcentral lists this ribosomal RNA (253 nucleotides) under uncultured bacterium. Its description in RNAcentral is "partial 16S ribosomal RNA". It matches the Rfam family "Bacterial small subunit ribosomal RNA", at positions 524 to 776 of the family's 1533-position model. The record is from RNAcentral.
UACGUAGGUGACCAGCGUUGUCCGGAUUUACUGGGCGUAAAGAGCGCGCAGGCGGUCGUUCAAGUCAGGUGUGAAAGCCUUGAGCUCAACUCAAGAAAUGCACUUGAUACUGGAUGACUAGAGGACCGGAGAGGAUAGUGGAAUUCCCAGUGUAGUGGUGAAAUACGUAGAGAUUGGGAAGAACACCAGUGGCGAAGGCGGCUAUCUGGACGGUUUCUGACGCUAAGACGCGAAAGCGUGGGGAGCAAACAGG